Molecule: ribosomal RNA, 1466 nt
Filed under: Acinetobacter baumannii OIFC065
Lineage: Bacteria; Pseudomonadati; Pseudomonadota; Gammaproteobacteria; Moraxellales; Moraxellaceae
Description: bacterial LSU rRNA
Rfam family: Bacterial large subunit ribosomal RNA
Source: RNAcentral
GCGUUCUGUAAGCCGAUGAAGGUGUGUUGAGAAGCAUGCUGGAGGUAUCAGAAGUGCGAAUGCUGACGUGAGUAACGACAAAACGGGUGAAAAACCCGUUCGCCGAAAGACCAAGGGUUCCAGUCCAACGUUAAUCGGGGCUGGGUGAGUCGACCCCUAAGGCGAGGCCGAAAGGCGUAGUCGAUGGGAAAAUGGUUAAUAUUCCAUUACUUCUGUGUAAUGCGAUGAGAGGACGGAGAAGGCUAAAUCAGCCUGGCGUUGGUUGUCCAGGUGAAAGGAUGUAGGCAUGUAUCUUAGGCAAAUCCGGGGUACUCUAUGCUGAGAUCUGAUAGCAAGCUGUACUUGUACAGCGAAGUGGUUGAUGCCAUGCUUCCAGGAAAAGUCUCUAAGCUUCAGUUACACAGGAAUCGUACCCGAAACCGACACAGGUGGUCAGGUCGAGUAGACCAAGGCGCUUGAGAGAACUCUGCUGAAGGAACUAGGCAAAAUGGUACCGUAACUUCGGGAGAAGGUACGCUGUUGUUGGUGAUGGAACUCGCUUCCUGAGCUGACGACAGCCGCAGAAACCAGGCCGCUGCAACUGUUUAUUAAAAACAUAGCACUCUGCAAACACGAAAGUGGACGUAUAGGGUGUGAUGCCUGCCCGGUGCUGGAAGGUUAAUUGAUGGGGUUAGCGUAAGCGAAGCUCUUGAUCGAAGCCCCAGUAAACGGCGGCCGUAACUAUAACGGUCCUAAGGUAGCGAAAUUCCUUGUCGGGUAAGUUCCGACCUGCACGAAUGGCAUAAUGAUGGCGGCGCUGUCUCCAGCAGAGGCUCAGUGAAAUCGAAAUCGCUGUGAAGAUGCAGUGUACCCGCGGCUAGACGGAAAGACCCCGUGAACCUUUACUGCAGCUUGACACUGAACUUUGACCUUACUUGUGUAGGAUAGGUGGGAGGCUUUGAAGCUGGAACGCUAGUUCCAGUGGAGCCGUCCUUGAAAUACCACCCUGGUAAUGUUGAGGUUCUAACUCUGUCCCGUGAUCCGGGACGAGGACCGUGUCUGGUGGGUAGUUUGACUGGGGCGGUCUCCUCCUAAAGAGUAACGGAGGAGUACGAAGGUGCGCUCAGCGUGGUCGGAAAUCACGCGUAGAGUAUAAAGGCAAAAGCGCGCUUAACUGCGAGACCCACAAGUCGAGCAGGUACGAAAGUAGGUCUUAGUGAUCCGGUGGUUCUGUAUGGAAGGGCCAUCGCUCAACGGAUAAAAGGUACUCUGGGGAUAACAGGCUGAUACCGCCCAAGAGUUCAUAUCGACGGCGGUGUUUGGCACCUCGAUGUCGGCUCAUCUCAUCCUGGGGCUGAAGCAGGUCCCAAGGGUAUGGCUGUUCGCCAUUUAAAGAGGUACGCGAGCUGGGUUUAGAACGUCGUGAGACAGUUCGGUCCCUAUCUACCGUGGGCGCUGGAAAUUUGAGAGGAUCUGCUCCUAGUACG